RNAcentral lists this long non-coding RNA (1497 nucleotides) under Salvia miltiorrhiza (redroot sage). Its description in RNAcentral is "long non-coding RNA (SMIL_LNC012293)". Lineage: Eukaryota; Viridiplantae; Streptophyta; Magnoliopsida; Lamiales; Lamiaceae. The record is from RNAcentral.
UUAUUAAGCUGCGCAGGAAUGAAAGCAAGAAGAGUUACUAAAGCUGCGCUGCAUAAUUUUCUAAGCGGUGCUGCGGGAUAUCUAAGCUGGUCUUCAACACAGGAACUCUACAUCCCAGCACAGAAUGUCUAAGCCGUAAUGUAACAAAGGUAACCCACUAACUAGUGGUGAUCCAGGUACUUCGCAGGCCUAUAAUUUCUCACUACAUGAUCUUAGAACAUUUCAUCGAAGCAUGUAAGCAUGAUUGAGAUUUGAAAAAUGUUAUACUUUACCACUUGAGAAAAAUCAUGAUUUAUAUUAUGUCUUGGAAGCUGCACAACUUCUGCAUAUGUGCCUAGGGUUGAAAUAUGAAUUGACUAAAUAUACGAAGCUGCACAACUUCUGCAUAUGUGCUAGAGCCUGGAACAUAAUUUAGAUAACAUACUUUGGGACCAUAGAGUCAUACUAGCCCUGUCACUAGCAUCACAAGUAGGAACACCAAUCACAAGCAUACACAUAACAUGUUUAUUUAAAUCACGCACAUGUUACCAAGAGGGAGGGAGUAGGGUAUAUAUGUUGCCAUCUGUAUUUUUCCUGAAAAUUUGCAGCUUGAUCAAUAAUGGUUGACAACACUGGAAAACCUGCUUCGGUAGAAAAUGAGCUUUAGUGGCAAUUCAGCCACGCUACGGAGGGGAAAGCGUUAAGUGGAAUUUGGGUCUUCUCAGCGCAGUCAGGACAUUUAUCUCAGCGCAGCCAUCUCAGUUAUCUCAGCUAUCUCAGCGCAGCCAUGUCAGUUAUCUCAGCUACCUCAGGGCAGCUACCUCAGCGCAGCUAUCUUAGAGCAGCUAUCUAGUUAUCUCAGCUACCUCUGCGCAGCUAUCUCAGCGCAGCCAUCUCAGUUAUCUCAGCUAUCUCAGGGCAGCUACCUCAGCGCAGCUAUCUCAGAGCAGCUAUCUCAGUUAUCUCAGCUACCUCAGGGCAGCCACCUCAGUGCAAUUAUCUCAGCGCAGCUAUCUCAGUUAUCUCAGUAGUUUUCAGCGCAGAAUGUCCGAGCCGUUGUCAGUUCAGAAUGUCUAUGCUCCGCGCAGGAAUAUCGUAAGCCGCGAAAGUUAGACAGGGUUCUUUGAUUGUCUAUGCUCCGCGCAGGAAUAUCGUAAGCCGCGAAAGUUAGACAGGGGUGUACCAUCUUGAGGGCCGCUUCGGCGGGGGUGUACCAUCUUGAGGGCCGCUUCGGCGGAAGUGUAANNNNNNNNNNNNNNNNNNNNNNNNNNNNNNNNNNNNNNNNNNNNNNNNNNNNNNNNNNNNNNNNNNNNNGCGCAGGAAUGAAAGCAAGAAGAGUUACUAAAGUUGCGCUGCAUAAUUUUCUAAGCGGUGCUGUGGGAUAUCUAAGCUGGUCUUCAACACAGGAACUCUACAUCCCAGCACAGAAUGACUAGAGAAAGAAACAAAGGUAACACACGAACGAGUGGAGAUACAGGUACUUCGCAGAACUGAAAUUUCUCACUACAUGAUCUUAAG